RNAcentral lists this ribosomal RNA (451 nucleotides) under uncultured bacterium. RNAcentral describes it as "bacterial SSU rRNA". It matches the Rfam family "Bacterial small subunit ribosomal RNA", at positions 354 to 796 of the family's 1533-position model. The record is from RNAcentral.
GUGGGGAAUAUUGGACAAUGGGCGGAAGCCUGAUCCAGCCAUGCCGCGUGUGUGAAGAAGGCCUUUUGGUUGUAAAGCACUUUAAGCGAGGAGGAGGCUCCUUUAGUUAAUACCUAAAGUGAGUGGACGUUACUCGCAGAAUAAGCACCGGCUAACUCUGUGCCAGCAGCCGCGGUAAUACAGAGGGUGCGAGCGUUAAUCGGAUUUACUGGGCGUAAAGCGUGCGUAGGCGGCUUUUUAAGUCGGAUGUGAAAUCCCUGAGCUUAACUUAGGAAUUGCAUUCGAUACUGGAAAGCUAGAGUAUGGGAGAGGAUGGUAGAAUUCCAGGUGUAGCGGUGAAAUGCGUAGAGAUCUGGAGGAAUACCGAUGGCGAAGGCAGCCAUCUGGCCUAAUACUGACGCUGAGGUACGAAAGCAUGGGGAGCAAACAGGAUUAGAAACCCCUGUAGUCC